RNAcentral lists this ribosomal RNA (389 nucleotides) under uncultured soil bacterium. RNAcentral describes it as "bacterial SSU rRNA". It matches the Rfam family "Bacterial small subunit ribosomal RNA", at positions 26 to 418 of the family's 1533-position model. The record is from RNAcentral.
AGAUUGAACGCUGGCGGCAUGCCUUACACAUGCAAGUCGAACGGCAGCACGGGAGCAAUCCUGGUGGCGAGUGGCGAACGGGUGAGUAAUAUAUCGGAACGUGCCCAGUAGCGGGGGAUAACUACGCGAAAGCGUGGCUAAUACCGCAUACGCCUACGGGGGAAAGGGGGGAUUCUUCGGAACCUCUCACUAUUGGAGCGGCCGAUAUCAGAUUAGCUAGUUGGUGAGGUAAAGGCUCACCAAGGCGACGAUCUGUAGCUGGUUUGAGAGGACGACCAGCCACACUGGGGACUGAGACACGGCCCAGACUCCUACGGGAGGCAGCAGUGGGAAUUUGGACAAUGGGGGAAACCCUGAUCCAGCCAUCCCGCGUGUGCGAUGAAGGCCUU